Molecule: ribosomal RNA, 489 nt
Filed under: Escherichia coli
Lineage: Bacteria; Pseudomonadati; Pseudomonadota; Gammaproteobacteria; Enterobacterales; Enterobacteriaceae
Description: bacterial LSU rRNA
Rfam family: Bacterial large subunit ribosomal RNA
Source: RNAcentral
GGGUUGUGAGGUUAAGCGACUAAGCGUACACGGUGGAUGCCCUGGCAGUCAGAGGCGAUGAAGGACGUGCUAAUCUGCGAUAAGCGUCGGUAAGGUGAUAUGAACCGUUAUAACCGGCGAUUUCCGAAUGGGGAAACCCAGUGUGUUUCGACACACUAUCAUUAACUGAAUCCAUAGGUUAAUGAGGCGAACCGGGGGAACUGAAACAUCUAAGUACCCCGAGGAAAAGAAAUCAACCGAGAUUCCCCCAGUAGCGGCGAGCGAACGGGGAGCAGCCCAGAGCCUGAAUCAGUGUGUGUGUUAGUGGAAGCGUCUGGAAAGGCGCGCGAUACAGGGUGACAGCCCCGUACACAAAAAUGCACAUACUGUGAGCUCGAUGAGUAGGGCGGGACACGUGGUAUCCUGUCUGAAUAUGGGGGGACCAUCCUCCAAGGCUAAAUACUCCUGACUGACCGAUAGUGAACCAGUACCGUGAGGGAAAGGCGAAAA